AUAUUGGUGUGAGGCCAUCCUAUGAAACAAUAAAACGAUUUGUAACAAAAUACAUAUGUCUCAAUUGAACUGAAAAUCAUAUCAAUGGUCUGCUUAACAAAACAUAUCAAAUAAAAAGUAAAGGAAUAUCACAGUCACAAUGAUGCAUUUCCUAUCUACUAGGAGAGUCACCACUUCUGGAUGUCCAGAGAAACAGUGCUGGAUAUGAAACCAGGAUCCUCCAAAAACUGGGCAAGCAGUCUACCACUGAUUUAUAUCUCAAGCCCAGAGAAGCCUAAUUGAAUAGAAAGAAUAUGGCCUUUCAAUUUAGUUAAACUUGAGUCUAAAUUUUACUAUAAGUUCUGCUACUUAAAAGCAGAUAUAUUUUUUUCAAGGUUUCAAUUUACUUGUCAAAAAAUGGGCAUUAAAAAUACUAGUUAACUCACAGGA
Molecule: non-coding RNA, 429 nt
Organism: Ictidomys tridecemlineatus (thirteen-lined ground squirrel)
Lineage: Eukaryota; Metazoa; Chordata; Mammalia; Rodentia; Sciuridae
Source: RefSeq, a predicted model, not a curated record